This 661-nucleotide long non-coding RNA is filed under the name Nicotiana benthamiana. RNAcentral's name for it is "long non-coding RNA (NBEN_LNC036396)". The record is from RNAcentral. Lineage: Eukaryota; Viridiplantae; Streptophyta; Magnoliopsida; Solanales; Solanaceae.
GGUUUUCAACAAUAGUAGAAUUUUAAAAGAUGGAUGAACAAACAAAUUGGAUAAAACUUAAGUAAACAGGCAUUCGUCUAAUAAACAGUCAAAAGAAAUUAGGGUUUUUAACAUGAAAACUCAGGUAGAACAACGAUAUGAGCAAACAUAGCAAAAUAUGUCAAAAGCAGAGAAAAGUUUUGAAAUACCUUAACAAGAACCCUAAUCGAAAAAGAUACGGGGUUUGGAAAGCAGAGUUUGAAAAGAAACUUCGAGAAAAAUGCUUAAAAGUCCAAAGCAAACAUAUAUCUGACGCAAAUCUAAAAGAAAUCGAAAGAACCUUAGAGGUUAGGGUUUCAUAAGAACCUCAAGUGAUGAGAAAGGCCUUGAAAACCAUCGAUCUAAGCAGGAGAAUCAAAAGUCUGCCUCGAAUAGCCAUGGCUGACCGGACAAAGGUCAGAGACAACCGGAGAACAGGCAUUGAACAAGGACUGGACAAAACCCCUUCAUGAUCUUGAAGUGAGACCACAUAAUCAAACACGUAGAAGCCAUGGGAGGUUGAUACAAGUCUCUGAUGACCUUGGAAGCCAUAGAUUUGGGAGGUACUAGGGUUGUAGCGGCUAGGGUUUGAUGUGGUUGUAAAGAUGAUUUGGGAGAUGAGGGGUUUCAGAGGUGGCGGAUU